RNAcentral lists this unclassified non-coding RNA (233 nucleotides) under Hevea brasiliensis (rubber tree). The record is from RNAcentral. Lineage: Eukaryota; Viridiplantae; Streptophyta; Magnoliopsida; Malpighiales; Euphorbiaceae.
GGAUGAGAAGCUCAGUGCUCUUUUGAUAUUUUCGGAUUUCACGGAGAGCAACAGUUCCAGGUCGGUAACGAUGAGGCUUCUUCACUCCUCCUGUGGUAGGGGCUGACUUCCUUGCAGCCUUUGUAGCAAGUUGCUUCCUUGGAGCCUUUCCACCGGUUGAUUUACGAGCUGUCUGCUUAGUACGAGCCAUUUCUUCACAAUCUGAGAAAGUUGCAGAGAGAAUUUGAAAUUUG